Molecule: RNase P RNA, 421 nt
Filed under: uncultured Colwellia sp.
Lineage: Bacteria; Pseudomonadati; Pseudomonadota; Gammaproteobacteria; Alteromonadales; Colwelliaceae
Description: Bacterial RNase P class A
Rfam family: Bacterial RNase P class A
About the family: Ribonuclease P (RNase P) is a ubiquitous endoribonuclease, found in archaea, bacteria and eukarya as well as chloroplasts and mitochondria.
Source: RNAcentral
AGUUGACCAGACAAUCGCUGCUUUAUCGUUGUGCCUAAUGUUUCGACAAAAGGUAGACAGAUAAAGGGGAGGAAAGUCCGGGCUCCAAUGAGCAGGGUGCCAGGUAACACCUGGGCGGCGUGAGCCGACGACAAGUGCAGCAGAGAGAAGACCGCCGAUGACCGACUUAUUUAUAAGUAAUGGAACAGGUAAGGCUGAAAGGGUGCGGUAAGAGCGCACCGGAUUGCUGGUAACAGUAAUUGCAGGGUAAACUCCACCUGGAGCAAGACCAAAUAGGGUUUCAUGAUUAGUUUUAUUUCGGUAAAGCUAAUAUAAGCGUGGCUCGCGUGGAAACCGGGUAGGUUGCUUGAGCUAUAGAGCGAUUUAUAGCCUAGACGAAUGAUUGUCACUCCUUUGGGAGAUACAAAACCCGGCUUAUGUG